RNAcentral lists this long non-coding RNA (6401 nucleotides) under Glycine max (soybean). Its description in RNAcentral is "long non-coding RNA (GMAX_LNC001859)". The record is from RNAcentral. Lineage: Eukaryota; Viridiplantae; Streptophyta; Magnoliopsida; Fabales; Fabaceae.
UCUUUGGCUGUGGCCAAGACAACGAGGGCCUCUUCAGGGGCACCGCCGGCCUCAUGGGCCUCAGCCGCCACCCCAUUUCCUUUGUCCAACAAACCUCCUCAAUUUACAACAAAAUUUUCUCCUACUGUCUCCCCUCCACCCCCAGCUCCCUUGGCCACCUCACCUUCGGCGCUUCCGCCGCCACCAAUGCUAACCUCAAAUACACUCCCUUUUCCACAAUCUCCGGCGAAAACUCCUUCUACGGUCUCGACAUCGUCGGCAUCUCCGUUGGCGGCACCAAACUCCCUGCUGUCUCCUCCUCCACCUUCUCCGCCGGUGGCUCCAUCAUCGACUCCGGCACCGUGAUCACGCGGUUGCCUCCGACCGCGUACGCCGCGCUCCGGUCGGCAUUUCGGCAGUUUAUGAUGAAGUACCCCGUUGCCUAUGGGACCCGCCUACUUGACACGUGUUAUGAUUUCAGUGGGUAUAAGGAGAUUUCAGUUCCGAGGAUAGAUUUUGAAUUUGCCGGUGGCGUCAAGGUGGAGUUGCCAUUGGUGGGGAUACUCUAUGGGGAAAGUGCGCAACAACUGUGUUUGGCUUUUGCUGCAAAUGGGAAUGGCAAUGAUAUUACGAUAUUUGGGAAUGUGCAACAAAAGACACUAGAGGUCGUGUAUGAUGUUGAGGGUGGGAGGAUAGGGUUUGGUGCUGCUGGGUGCAACUGAAGUUAGUUUGAUUAAUAGUGGUGUUAAUUAAACAUGCUUUGGGCUUGUUAGGGAGGAAGAAAUCUUAAUUGGCUCUGGCAUUUUUAAUUACUAUUGUUGUUGUUACUGGAAAGUACUCUAAAACAUAUGAAAAAAUAAAUAAAGGAAAUGAUGUGGGAAAUAUGAUGUAACAUGUAGAAUGGAGGGGGUGUUAUAUUAUACAUAUGACUCCCAACCAUUGGGGUUGCUUGCAAUUGCACAUACAUGGCUAAUAUGGUUUUAUAAUAGUUAACUUAGCUAAACAUAUUAAAUUUAUUAAUAAUUUAUACUUUGUUGAACUCAUAAGCAAAAAAAAAACUAAUUUUACACUAAUAAAAUUAGUUGAAAUAAUUUAAUUUUAUUAAUUUAAAGUAAAAUAGUAAGAUUAUCUCUACAAAAAUUUUAUUAGAACUUGAUAUCACGAAUAAAUAAAAUACAUAAAAAUAGAAUUCAAUUAAAUAUAUUUUUUUAAAAAAUAAUAUUAUUAAAUAAGGAUAAAUAAUUAGAUUUGUUUAUAUUUAAAUUCAAGCCCUUAAAAAAAUUAAAAUUAUCAAAGAAUGGAAUAUGUCACAAAAUAAACAUAAAAGCGUCGUACGAAGAUUUUGUGACUAGCAAAUGCUCUCACAAAUUUUGGCGUCCUAUAAGCACUUAAGUGAGGGACUUUUUGUCCCGUCACAUACAAUGACAGAAUCUAUUGUGAUUCAUCUACCUCAACCCCCACUAGACCAAUCUUGUGUGUAGAAUGUGAGAAUAAAUAAUCAUUUUUCUAUGUAAAUUUGUAAAUAACAAUAAUACAUUAAAAUCAAAUAUAACGAAUAAACAAGCUAAAUAAUUAUGAGUUUAAUUUGCUUGAUAUCUCAUAAUAUCCAGUAGUGAAUAUAUUAACAACAUUCAAAGUUUUGUUUAACAUCCAAAGUCUUAAAAUACCUAUUUUAUAAAUAUCUAUUUAAAGUCUUAUAAUUUGUAACAUAAGUAGAAUAUAUAAUUAAUUUUCAAACACCCAUAUUAUCAUCUAAUUCAUCAUCUUGUUGAUCACGUGUAGGAAGUUAUGGACCACAUUGAAUUGGUUGAGAUCUUUGACCAACUGAAACAUUCUCCAUAAAUUAAGUCAUUUUUGCUCACAAAACAAAUGGCCCUCUUGUGAUUCAACAAACAUGUCUUUCAAGUUCUUAUCUUUUUCAAUCAAAUCGAAAACUUUAGUUCAUUUUCUCAUAUUCAUGCGAUGAGAAACCAUAAGAUGAUAUGGAUGAGAAAGAAAGCUUGUAUUUCCUUGCCUCUAAACCUAGACCAAAUAUCAAUUGUUAGAUCCCUUAAGAUAUAAAACCUUUUUUCUUAUAUAUGAGUUUAGAUGAAUUAUUACUCUUUCAAAAUUAUCCUUCAUUUUUUUCUACUUAAUUAUUUCUUACCUAAUUAGUCGUAGUCGACCUCUACUAAAAAAUAGUCUCAAUUAAUGUUAGUAAAAUAAUUACCUUUUCGACCUUGACUAGAGUUUUUUUCCCAAGGCAUGCUUUAAAAUUUAAAAAUCCAAUGAAAUUUAAUAACAUAUUUUGGAUAUAGUUAGUUACGGAAUGAUUCUAUAUAAUCUAAUUAUAUAACCUGAUUUCUUUGAAAACUCCUAAUAAAAACCAAUUAUUGUUUCCUUUCAAAUGUGUGAUUUGAUAAAGGAACUCUAUUCUUUGACUCACUUCCUAAUUUACUUAGAAGAGUUUCUUAAAAGUAUUAAUGAAUGAGGUUCCUAAUAUAUUUCAAAGAGGUUUUUAAAAGUUUUAUUGGAUGAGGUUUCAAUGCUACAUUACUCUAACAUUGUUGUUUAAGAUAAAUAAAAAGGAAUAAAUUAUAUUUUUAAUUGCACUUUUUAUCUUUAUUUUUUAAAAAAAUUUGAUGAUUUUUUUCUUAAAAUUAAUUUGUCAUAUUUUAGACAUAAUUUUUAAAAAAUUUGUGAAUUUCAUCAUUUGUCAUUCAUUUAUUAAUAAGCAAAAGUUAUGACUAUAGUUUACCAAAAACAAAAGUUUAGGACAGAAUUUGUUAAAAAAUAAAAAAUGUUGCGUAAAAAAACUUUCAAAAAUCAAAAAGUUAGAGAUAAACAAUGUAAUUAUUUCAAAAGGAAAAUGACGGAAGAUAAACAAUGUAAUAAUUUGAGAUAAAUUAUCUUAAAUUAAUUUUUUGAGGUGAAAUUUGUCAAAAAUUAUAGAAGUUAAGAGUAGAAAAUGCAAUUAGACCUAAAAAUUAUAGAGAUUAAAAAAAAUUAAAUCACCAUAGUUAAAAUUAUAUUUAAACCAAAAAUUAAUAAAUAGAAAAUAAUGUGAUUGAAGAAAGUACUACUCCGAUGACGUUACACCACCAACAUGGCAAAACCUCCAUUCAAAAGCCCUAGGUAUUCCCCGAUAUACUUUUGAGGAUCAAAGGGUCAACUGACUUUGUACAAACAAAAGUCAAGUCACGUUAGUCGAUCGGAUUGGUUGCGUAUAUUGCGGUGGAAACUUUGAUCUUAUCUCCACUUUUUAUUUUUUUUUAAUUUUACACUAGGAUAUAUUUAAAGGAUUUCAUACAACUGUUAUAUUUUUUUUUAGUAAGAACUAUGUAUACUGAUUAUUAAUAAUAAUAUUUGUUUUUAAAUUAAAUAUAUGCAUAUGAUUAUUAUUUUAAUAUUAAUCGACGAGUUAACAGGUUAGAUUUCCAGACCAAUUAGUUUAAAAAUUAAAAUCCAUGAUCCAACAUGUGUAUGAAAAGGUUAAAAUAGAUUGUUCAAUGUGUUUGAGUCCAUUUGGAUCCAUUUGAGUUAGAGAGUGACACAUGUUUUUGAACAAUUCUAAAUAUGCCCGUGUUACAUAUAAAAGAUUAUAGUUGUAGAUGAGAUAUGUGUAUAAUAUAAAUAAGUCAUAAUUACAUAGUAAUUUUCACUUUGGACCAACAUUUGCUAAUUAGAGUUAAGAUGAAUAAGUUUAUUUACUUUUUAAAAUAAAGUUCUUAUUAUUUCUUUUUAUGACUUAAGUUUAAGACAUUAUUUUUAAAAAAGUAAAUUAUGUCAAUAAACAAAUAUUGACAACUUAAAGUUAAAAUAUAUUUUAUAUACAUUGAAAAAAAUAUAUUUUUAUGUAAAAAUGCAUACAUAUAUUUGUGUACAUACUUGCAUUUGUUUGUAUAAAGUUUGAGGAAACUCAAUAAUUAUAGUUCAAUUGAUAAUAUAAGUUAAUUUUGUAAAAAAGAUUUAGGUUCAAUUUUCAUAUAAUAGAUCACCUUUGAGAAGAAGUAAUAGAUUUUUGGUGUGACUAAUUCUCAUCGAUAAUUAAUCUCAUUAUCCCUAAAUGCCAUAAUUAUUGUUAUAACAAUGCUAAGCAAUAUUAGUGUUGAGAUUGACCAAGAAUAACAAGCUUAAUUAAUAUUAAUGAAGUAGUGUAUUUUGGUAUACAUAUUUAUCAAGUGACGUUAAAGAAUUAAUAAUCUAUAUAUUUGGACACGAUCAAUGAAUUAGCCUAUAAAGACCAAGUAUUCCGACGGAGUUGUCGUAUAACCAGGCUUAUGUAUAUAUUAGCUAUUAAUCUUCAGUUGACAUGCACAUCCAAAUGUCUUCUUUCCUCUUAGCUUCAAUUCGCUUGCACUUUUGUUUUUCAUCUCCUCCUUGGAGAAGAGCUUUGCCUUUCAAGCAACAAAGGAAAGCAACAAUCUUCGUCAUAUCAUUUUGUUCACCUCAACUCUCUAUUUCCAUCAUCUUCUUGCAGCUCUUCUGCCAAAGGUCAAUCCAAUCUUCAAUUCCUUGUUUUUUUAUUAUGUUUUUCAAUAAUAGCUAGAGUUUCUCUUUGAUAAUUUAAGUUAACAAUCAAGUAAAUCUUUUUAUAUGAAGUAUUGAAGAGAGACUCUUAUUCUAAUUGAAGAGGAAUGUUAAUAUACUCUCUCUACCACUCUUUCUAGUGAGACUUUCUUUAAAAGUUAGAAGAGAAAAUUAUUAAAUAAAACAUAAAACAUUCAAAAAUUAAUAAUUUUUAAUAAAUUUCAGCUAAAAAUUAACAAGGAAUUUUUAUCUAGCUAAAAAUUGCAUACCAAACCUAGAUAUAAUUGAUGUGUACCCGAUAAAAUGUAGAAUUAUAUUUAUUGAUUGAAAAAAAUUAAUAAAUGAUAUCAUAACAAAUGCAUAUAAAUAUGUAAUAAAUUACACAAUCAUUAAAAUCUGGUUUCCUUUUAACUUUUAGCUAUUAGCUGUGUACGUGUUUUCUCUUAAGGACUCUUUCAAGUCACAUCCUUAUGUUAAAUCAAUUUUGAUUAUUCACUUUAAUAUGAUGGUUGAUUAACAAUCAAUGAUUUGGCAACACUAAUUCUAAUUCAGGUCCUAAAAGGAAAGCAUCAUUAGAAGUGGUACAUACACAAACAUGGUCCAUGCUCCCAACUAAAACAUAGAGGCAAAGCAGAGGCUACAAUAUCACACAAUGAUAUUAUGAACCUAGACAAUGAAAGGGUAAAGUAUAUUCAGUCCAGGCUCUCUAAGAAUUUGGGUCGAGAAAAUACUGUGAAGGAUUUGGAUUCAACUACCCUACCCGCCGAGUCUGGUAGCCUUAUUGGGUCUGCAAACUAUGUUGUUGUUGUUGGUCUUGGUACACCAAAGAGGGACUUGUCACUUGUUUUUGACACAGGUAGUGAUCUUACAUGGACUCAGUGUGAACCCUGUGCUGGUUCUUGCUACAAGCAGCAAGAUGCAAUCUUUGAUCCAUCAAAGUCUUCAUCGUAUACCAAUAUCACAUGCACAUCUUCCCUCUGCACUCAACUCACUUCUGAUGGUAAAUCUUUACUUUUGAAUACAGAAAUUAAUGAAGAAAAUAUUUAAACUAACAGGAUUACUGAGGCACUUAUAUAGUCUGAUACCAUCAAAUUAAAUGUUUAGAUAGAAAACAACCAUAAUUUUACAAUAUCACAAAUCCAAAUAUAGAUGUAAGUAUUUAGACGGUUGCUUACUUGAUGAAAAAUUAAAUAAAAAAAAGUAAAAAUCAAGAUACUGGAAUGAGAAAAAAUUAAAUGAGAUGUGUAUUUAAUUUGUUCAAUUUAUGAGAAAAAAUCAUGUUAUAAUUCUUAAUUAUAUGUUAUGUGAUGAUUAAUUAGAAACCAUGUGUGAUGAAGAUCAUUUAAUCAUUUUUCAACGAGAAGGGUUGCAAUAUUUGAUUAUAUUAUUAUUUAAUUUUUUUUUCCAUGCAGGAAUUAAGUCAGAAUGCUCCUCAUCCACAGAUGCAUCAUGCAUAUAUGACGCCAAAUACGGUGACAAUUCCACCUCCGUCGGCUUCUUGAGUCAGGAGCGCCUUACCAUCACCGCCACCGACAUCGUCGACGACUUCCUGUUCGGCUGCGGCCAAGACAAUGAGGGCCUCUUCAAUGGCUCCGCCGGCCUCAUGGGCCUCGGCCGCCACCCCAUUUCCAUUGUCCAACAAACCUCCUCAAAUUACAACAAAAUUUUCUCCUACUGUCUCCCCGCCACCUCCAGCUCCCUUGGCCACCUCACCUUCGGCGCUUCCGCCGCCACCAAUGCUAGUCUCAUAUACACUCCGUUGUCCACAAUCUCCGGCGACAACUCCUUCUACGGUCUCGACAUCGUCAGCAUCUCCGUUGGCGGCACCAAGCUCCCUGCUGUCUCCUCCUCCACCUUCUCCGCCGGUGGCUCCAUCAUCGACUCCGGCACCGUGAUCACGCGGCUGGCCCCGA